RNAcentral lists this ribosomal RNA (153 nucleotides) under uncultured Symbiodinium. RNAcentral's name for it is "5.8S ribosomal RNA". It matches the Rfam family "5.8S ribosomal RNA". From Rfam's summary of the family: 5.8S ribosomal RNA (5.8S rRNA) is a component of the large subunit of the eukaryotic ribosome. It is transcribed by RNA polymerase I as part of the 45S precursor that also contains 18S and 28S rRNA. Functionally, it is thought that 5.8S rRNA may be involved in ribosome translocation. The record is from RNAcentral. Lineage: Eukaryota; Dinophyceae; Suessiales; Symbiodiniaceae.
CAAUUUUCAGUGACGGAUAUCUUGGCUCGAGCACCUAUGGAGGGCGCAGCGAAGUGCGAUAAUCGUUGUGAAUUGCAGAACUCCGUGAACCAAUGGCCUCUUGAACGUGCAUUGCGCUCUUGGGAUAUGCCUGAGAGCAUGUCUGCUUCAGUG